CCUACGGGUGGCAGCAGUGAGGAAUAUUGGUCAAUGGACGAGAGUCUGAACCAGCCAAGUAGCGUGAAGGAUGACUGCCCUAUGGGUUGUAAACUUCUUUCAUAAAGGAAUAAAACGAGGCACGUGUGCCUUUUUGCAUGUACUCUAUGAAUUAUGAGCGGCUAACUCCGUGCCAGCAGCCGCGGUAAUACGGAGGAUCCGAGCGUUAUCCGGAUUUAUUCGGUUUAAAGGGAGCGUAGAUGGGUUGUUAAGUCAGUUGUGAAAGUUUGCGGCUCAACCGUAAAAUUGCAAUUGAUACUGGCAGUCUUGAGUAAAGUUGAGGUAGGCGGAAUGCGUGGUGUAGCAGUGAAAUGCUGAGAUAUCACGAAGAACCCCGAUUGCGAAGGCAGCUUACUAAACUGUGACUGACAUUGAGGCUCGAAGGUGUGGGUAUCAAAAAGGAUUAGAUACCCCUGUAGUC
RNAcentral lists this ribosomal RNA (460 nucleotides) under uncultured bacterium. RNAcentral describes it as "partial 16S ribosomal RNA". It matches the Rfam family "Bacterial small subunit ribosomal RNA", at positions 338 to 795 of the family's 1533-position model. The record is from RNAcentral.